RNAcentral lists this ribosomal RNA (322 nucleotides) under Euplotes focardii. RNAcentral's name for it is "partial Bacterial large subunit ribosomal RNA". It matches the Rfam family "Bacterial large subunit ribosomal RNA", at positions 802 to 1123 of the family's 2925-position model. The record is from RNAcentral. Lineage: Eukaryota; Ciliophora; Spirotrichea; Euplotida; Euplotidae.
GGAUGAGCUGUGCCUAGGGGUGAAAGGCCAAUCAAACUCGGAGAUAGCUGGUUCUCCUCGAAAGCUAUUUAGGUAGCGCCUCGUGUAUCACCACCGGGGGUAGAGCACUGUUUGGGCUAGGGGGUCAUCCCGAUCUACCAACCCCAUGCAAACUACGAAUACCGGUGAGUGCAAUCACGGGAGACACACGGCGGGUGCUAACGUCCGUCGUGGAAAGGGAAACAACCCAGACCACCAGCUAAGGUCCCAAAUACCAGUUAAGUGGGAAACGAUGUGGGAAGGCUAAGACAGCUAGGAGGUUGGCUUAGAAGCAGCCAUCCUU